GAGUUUGAUCCUGGCUCAGAUUGAACGCUGGCGGCAUGCCUUACACAUGCAAGUCGAACGGUAACGGGUCCUUCGGGAUGCCGACGAGUGGCGAACGGGUGAGUAAUAUAUCGGAACGUGCCCAGUAGUGGGGAGUAACUGCUCGAAAGAGCAGCUAAUACCGCAUACGACCUGAGGGUGAAAGGGGGGGAGUCGCAAGACCUCUCGCUAUUGGAGCGGCCGAUAUCAGAUUAGCUAGUUGGUGGGGUAAAGGCCUACCAAGGCAACGAUCUGUAGUUGGUCUGAGAGGACGACCAGCCACACUAGGACUGAGACACGGCCCAGACUCCUACGGGAGGCAGCAGUGGGGAAUUUUGGACAAUGGGCGCAAGCCUGAUCCAGCAAUGCCGCGUGCAGGAAGAAGGCCUUCGGUUGUAACUGCUUUG
Molecule: ribosomal RNA, 425 nt
Filed under: uncultured microorganism
Description: bacterial SSU rRNA
Rfam family: Bacterial small subunit ribosomal RNA
Source: RNAcentral